RNAcentral lists this ribosomal RNA (253 nucleotides) under uncultured bacterium. RNAcentral's name for it is "partial 16S ribosomal RNA". It matches the Rfam family "Bacterial small subunit ribosomal RNA", at positions 524 to 776 of the family's 1533-position model. The record is from RNAcentral.
UACAGAGGUCUCAACCGUUGUUCGGAUUCAUUGGGCGUAAAGGGUGCGUAGGCGGCGGGGUAAGUCAGGUGUGAAAUCUCGGGGCUCAACCCCGAAACUGCACUUGAUACUGCCUCGCUUGAGUACUGGAGAGGAGACUGGAAUUUACGGUGUAGCAGUGAAAUGCGUAGAUAUCGGGAGGAACAUCUGUGGCGAAGGCGACACCCUGGACCAGCACUGACACUGAGGCACGAAAGCGUGGGGAGCAAACAGG